GAUGAAGAACGUAGCGAAAUGCGAUAAGUAAUGUGAAUUGCAGAAUUCAGUGAAUCAUCGAAUCUUUGAACGCACAUUGCGCCCGCCAGUAUUCUGGCGGGCAUGCCUGUCUGAGCGUCAUUUCAACCCUCAGCCCCCGCUCGCGGGGCGCUGGCGUUGGGGAUCGGCCGUCCUCGCGGCGGCCGGCCCCGAAACACAGUGGCGGUCUCUCGCGGACUCCCCUGCGUAGUAGCACUACCUCGCAGAAGGGACGAGCGGGCUGACCACGCCGUAAAACCCCCCACUUCUCCAGGUUGACCUCAGAUCAGGUAGGAAUACCCGCUGAACUUAAGCAUAUCAAUGGAGGA
Molecule: unclassified non-coding RNA, 347 nt
Filed under: soil metagenome
Description: partial contains 5.8S ribosomal RNA, internal transcribed spacer 2, and large subunit ribosomal RNA
Rfam family: 5.8S ribosomal RNA (bases 1-120)
Source: RNAcentral